Molecule: ribosomal RNA, 460 nt
Filed under: uncultured bacterium
Lineage: Bacteria
Description: partial 16S ribosomal RNA
Rfam family: Bacterial small subunit ribosomal RNA
Source: RNAcentral
CCUACGGGUGGCAGCAGUGAGGAAUAUUGGUCAAUGGGCGGAAUCCUGAACCAGCCAUGCCGCGUGCAGGACGACGGCCCUACGAGUUGUAAACUGCUUUUGUACCGGGGUAAAAUGCCUUACGUGUUGGGUUUUGAAUGUACGGUACGAAUAAGGAUCGGCUAACUCCGUGCCAGCAGCCGCGGCACUAAGGAGGAUCCGAGCGUUAUCCGGAUUCAUUUGGUUUAAAGGGUGCGGAGGUUGGUCUAUAAGUUAGCGGUGAAAUACAGAGGCUCAACAUCGUGGCUGCCGCUAACACUGUCGGACUAGAGAGCAGAUGCGGCAGGCGGAAUGUGUGGUGUAGCGGUGAAAUGCAUAGAUAUUACACAGAACACCGAUUGCGAAGGCAGCUUGCUAGGCCGGAUCUGACACUGAGGCACGAAAGCGUGGGGAUCGAACAGGAUUAGAUACCCCAGUAGUC